ACUUAAGUAGUUUAAAAUAAAAUUAUGAUUUGUGGUAUCAUAGAUAUAAAGUGUUUAUCUUAAGUU
This 66-nucleotide transfer RNA is filed under the name Odontomantis sp. JZ-2017. RNAcentral's name for it is "tRNA-His". The record is from RNAcentral. Lineage: Eukaryota; Metazoa; Arthropoda; Insecta; Mantodea; Hymenopodidae.